This is a long non-coding RNA of Oncorhynchus nerka (sockeye salmon), 273 nucleotides long. RefSeq lists it as uncharacterized. Lineage: Eukaryota; Metazoa; Chordata; Actinopteri; Salmoniformes; Salmonidae. The transcript is spliced from 4 exons. The record is from RefSeq and is a predicted model, not a curated record.
UCUCCACCCCGCCUCAGACCAGGGAUUGGUCGGAUGCUGUUGUGACCUCUGACCUCACCUCAGGGGCGGUGCUUCUGACUGUCAAUCAAAUGGUGGAGCGGUUUCGGGAGGAGCUCAAGAGACUGCCGGAGAUCUGUCUGCGUCCUCAACCUCAAACAGACCAAUCCGUGGGGAGAUAUAGUCCAAGGUUGCGUCCUCAACCUCAACCAGACCAAUCUGUGGGAAGAUGUAGUCCAAGUUUGCUUUCUCAACCAAACUAUGCUAUCGGAAAAA